This 84-nucleotide ribosomal RNA is filed under the name Vibrio cholerae O1. RNAcentral's name for it is "partial 16S ribosomal RNA". It matches the Rfam family "Bacterial small subunit ribosomal RNA", at positions 1450 to 1533 of the family's 1533-position model. Lineage: Bacteria; Pseudomonadati; Pseudomonadota; Gammaproteobacteria; Vibrionales; Vibrionaceae. The record is from RNAcentral.
CCGCUUGCCACUUUGUGGUUCAUGACUGGGGUGAAGUCGUCACGAGGUAGCGCUAGGGGAACCUGGCGCUGGAUCACCUCCUUC